AGAGUUUGAUCCUGGCUCAGGAUGAACGCUAGCGACAGGCUUAACACAUGCAAGUCGAGGGGCAGCGGGGAAGUAGCAAUACUUCCGCCGGCGACCGGCGCACGGGUGAGUAACACGUAUGGAACCUGCCCGUAGCAGGGGGAUAAGCGGAAGAAAUUCCGUCUAAUACCGCGUAAUAACUCCGAGAGGCAUCUCUUGGGGUUUAAAGGGUAACACCGGCUACGGAUGGCCAUGCGGCGCAUUAGCUAGUUGGCGGGGUAACGGCCCACCAAGGCGACGAUGCGUAGGGGUUCUGAGAGGAAGGUCCCCCACACUGGUACUGAGACACGGACCAGACUCCUACGGGAGGCAGCAGUGAGGAAUAUUGGUCAAUGGGCGCGAGCCUGAACCAGCCAAGUCGCGUGAGGGAAGACGGUCCUAUGGAUUGUAAACCUCUUUUGCCGGGGAGCAACGGGGUCCUUGCGAGGGCCCUAUGAGAGUACCCGGAGAAAAAGCAUCGGCUAACUCCGUGCCAGCAGCCGCGGUAAUACGGAGGAUGCGAGCGUUAUCCGGAUUUAUUGGGUUUAAAGGGUGCGUAGGCGGGCUGUUAAGUCAGCGGUCAAAUGUCGGGGCUCAACCCCGGCCUGCCCGUUGAAACUGGCGGCCUCGAGUGGGCGAGAAGUAUGCGGAAUGCGUGGUGUAGCGGUGAAAUGCAUAGAUAUCACGCAGAACUCCGAUUGCGAAGGCAGCAUACCGGCGCCCUACUGACGCUGAGGCACGAAAGCGUGGGUAUCGAACAGGAUUAGAUACCCUGGUAGUCCACGCAGUAAACGAUGAAUGCUAGCUGUCCGGUUCUACGGGACUGGGUGGCACAGCGAAAGCGUUAAGCAUUCCACCUGGGGAGUACGCCGGCAACGGUGAAACUCAAAGGAAUUGACGGGGGCCCGCACAAGCGGAGGAACAUGUGGUUUAAUUCGAUGAUACGCGAGGAACCUUACCCGGGCUCAAACGCCAAAGGACAGCCGCUGAAAGGCGGCCUCCCUCCGGGGUCUUUGGCGAGGUGCUGCAUGGUUGUCGUCAGCUCGUGCCGUGAGGUGUCGGCUUAAGUGCCAUAACGAGCGCAACCCCCAUCGACAGUUGCUAACGGGUAGAGCCGAGGACUCUGUCGAGACUGCCGGCGCAAGCUGCGAGGAAGGCGGGGAUGACGUCAAAUCAGCACGGCCCUUACGUCCGGGGCGACACACGUGUUACAAUGGCCGGUACAGCGGGAUGCCAGGGCGCGAGCCCGAGCGGAACCCGAAAACCGGUCUCAGUUCGGAUUGGAGUCUGCAACCCGACUCCAUGAAGCUGGAUUCGCUAGUAAUCGCGCAUCAGCCACGGCGCGGUGAAUACGUAACCGGGCCUUGCACACACCGCCCGUCA
This 1401-nucleotide ribosomal RNA is filed under the name uncultured bacterium. Its description in RNAcentral is "16S ribosomal RNA". It matches the Rfam family "Bacterial small subunit ribosomal RNA". The record is from RNAcentral.